This 200-nucleotide ribosomal RNA is filed under the name uncultured bacterium. Its description in RNAcentral is "partial 16S ribosomal RNA". It matches the Rfam family "Bacterial small subunit ribosomal RNA", at positions 29 to 221 of the family's 1533-position model. The record is from RNAcentral.
AGUGAACGCUGGCGGUAGGCCUAACACAUGCAAGUCGAACGGCAGCACAGUAAGAGCUUGGCUCUUAUGGGUGGCGAGUGGCGGACGGGUGAGGAAUACAUCGGAAUCUACUUUUUCGUGGGGGAUAACGUAGGGAAACUUACGCUAAUACCGCAUACGACCUACUGGUGAAAGCAGGGGAUCUUCGGACCUUGCGCGAU